AUGAACGCUGGCGGCGUGCCUAAUACAUGCAAGUCGAGCGAACGGACGAGAAGCUUGCUUCUCUGAUGUUAGCGGCGGACGGGCGAGUAACACGUGGAUAACCUACCUAUAAGACUGGGAUAACUUCGGGAAACCGGAGCUAAUACCGGAUAAUAUUUUGAACCGCAUGGUUCAAAAGUGAAAGACGGUCUUGCUGUCACUUAUAGAUGGAUCCGCGCUGCAUUAGCUAGUUGGUAAGGUAACGGCUUACCAAGGCAACGAUGCAUAGCCGACCUGAGAGGGUGAUCGGCCACACUGGAACUGCGCCACGGUCCAGACUCCUACGGGAGGCAGCAGUAGGGAAUCUUCCGCAAUGGGCGAAAGCCUGACGGAGCAACGCCGCGUGAGUGAUGAAGGUCUUCGGAUCGUAAAACUCUGUUAUUAGGGAAGAACAUAUGUGUAAGUAACUGUGCACAUCUUGACGGUACCUAAUCAGAAAGCCACGGCUAACUACGUG
Molecule: ribosomal RNA, 496 nt
Filed under: uncultured bacterium
Lineage: Bacteria
Description: partial 16S ribosomal RNA
Rfam family: Bacterial small subunit ribosomal RNA
Source: RNAcentral